Non-coding RNA from Pelobates cultripes (western spadefoot toad), 237 nucleotides. The record is from the annotation of a GenBank genome assembly. Lineage: Eukaryota; Metazoa; Chordata; Amphibia; Anura; Pelobatidae.
GCAUUUUUUUGUCCCUCAUGCUACAAUAGUGUCAAAUAAUGGACAUGUAUACAAGCACAGUUCUGGUUUUCAUUUUUCAGAUGCUUUCCAGUGCCCACUAUUGUCUAUUUUAGCUUUGAUUUAUCUCCUUACAAGGUGCAUGCCCCGGGAAUGGAUAAACUAAACUAAGGUCUCUGUCUCUUUAAAUGCUGUGAAAUGAGAAUUCCUGAAAAGUAGAUAUGGAAUCCUGAGCAUCAG